This is a long non-coding RNA of Drosophila gunungcola (fruit fly), 202 nucleotides long. RefSeq lists it as uncharacterized. The record is from RefSeq and is a predicted model, not a curated record. The transcript is spliced from 3 exons. Lineage: Eukaryota; Metazoa; Arthropoda; Insecta; Diptera; Drosophilidae.
AUUAAUGCAAAGUUUGAAAACAAAUUGUGUAAAAUCUAAUAUCUCGAUUGCAAUAAUUCAAAAUGGAUGAUAAUUGUGCAGCAAUUCUAACCUAACUUUUGUCGUGUUCCGUGGAAUAAAGACAACAUCGAUUUGAGCUAUGCUGAAAUGGUAGAGGUUUGGCUGGCAAAUGGUCGUGAAAAUAAAAGUAUUUAUGAUUUUG